AAUAAAAUUAAAUUAUAAAUUGUAAAUUUAUAAAUGAAAUAAAUUAUUUCUUUUAUUA
Molecule: transfer RNA, 58 nt
Filed under: Matsucoccus matsumurae
Lineage: Eukaryota; Metazoa; Arthropoda; Insecta; Hemiptera; Margarodidae
Description: tRNA-Tyr
Source: RNAcentral